RNAcentral lists this ribosomal RNA (514 nucleotides) under uncultured bacterium. RNAcentral's name for it is "bacterial SSU rRNA". It matches the Rfam family "Bacterial small subunit ribosomal RNA", at positions 29 to 533 of the family's 1533-position model. The record is from RNAcentral.
AACGAACGCUGGCGGCGCGCCUAACACAUGCAAGUCGAACGAGAAUCCGGGGCAACCCGGUAGUAAAGUGGCAAACGGGUGAGGAAUACAUGGGUAACCUACCCUUGAGAAGGGAAUAACCCGCCGAAAGGUGAGCUAAUACCCUAUACGCUAUCUUUUUUUCGAAAAGGAUAGGAAAGCCGGGUCGAGGACCUGGUACUCAAGGAGGGGCUCAUGUCCUAUCAGCUUGUUGGUGGGGUAACGGCCUACCAAGGCUACGACGGGUAGCUGGUCUGAGAGGAUGAUCAGCCACACUGGCACUGAGAUACGGGCCAGACUCCUACGGGAGGCAGCAGUGAGGAAUAUUGCGCAAUGGGCGAAAGGCCUGACGCAGCGACGCCGCGUGGGGGAUGAAGGUUUUCGGAUUGUAAACCCCUUUCAUGAGGAAAGAUAAAGUGGGUAACCACUUAGACGGUACCUCAAGAAGAAGCCACGGCUAACUUCGUGCCAAGCAGCCGCGGUAAUGUCUAGCAUG